Molecule: ribosomal RNA, 429 nt
Filed under: uncultured bacterium
Lineage: Bacteria
Description: bacterial SSU rRNA
Rfam family: Bacterial small subunit ribosomal RNA
Source: RNAcentral
GGGCCCGCACAAGCGGUGGAGCAUGUGGUUUAAUUCGAAGAUACGCGCAGAACCUUACCAACACUUGACAUGUUCGUCGCGACUUUAAGAGAUUAAAGUUUUCGGUUCGGCCGGACGAAACACAGGUGCUGCAUGGCUGUCGUCAGCUCGUGUCGUGAGAUGUUGGGUUAAGUCCCGCAACGAGCGCAACCCUCACUUUUAGUUGCCAUCAUUAAGUUGGGCACUCUGAAAGAACUGCCAGUGAUAAGCUGGAGGAAGGUGGGGAUGACGUCAAGUCCUCAUGGCCCUUACGUGUUGGGCUACACACGUGCUACAAUGGUAUCUACAACAGGAAGCAAAACGGCGACGUUAAGCAAAUCCUCAAAAGAUACCUCAGUUCGGAUUGCACUCUGCAACUCGAGUGCAUGAAGCUGGAAUUACUAGUAAUCG